GCCUACGGGGGGCAGCAGUGGGGAAUAUUGCACAAUGGGGGGAACCCUGAUGCAGCGACGCCGCGUGAAGGAAGAAGUAUUUCGGUAUGUAAACUUCUAUCAGCAGGGAAGAAAAUGACGGUACCUGACUAAGAAGCCCCGGCUAACUACGUGCCAGCAGCCGCGGUAAUACGUAGGGGGCGAGCGUUAUCCGGAAUUACUGGGUGUAAAGGGAGCGUAGACGGCGAGGUAAGCCUGAAGUGGAAGCCCGCGGCCCAACCGCGGAACUGCUUUGGGAACUGUUUUGCUGGAGUAUGGGAGGGGUA
Molecule: ribosomal RNA, 305 nt
Filed under: uncultured bacterium
Lineage: Bacteria
Description: bacterial SSU rRNA
Rfam family: Bacterial small subunit ribosomal RNA
Source: RNAcentral